This 1434-nucleotide ribosomal RNA is filed under the name uncultured organism. RNAcentral's name for it is "16S ribosomal RNA". It matches the Rfam family "Bacterial small subunit ribosomal RNA". The record is from RNAcentral.
CGUGCUUAACACAUGCAAGUCGAACGGAAAGGCCCUGCUUUUGUGGGGUGCUCGAGUGGCGAACGGGUGAGUAACACGUGAGUAACCUGCCCUUGACUUUGGGAUAACUUCAGGAAACUGGGGCUAAUACCGGAUAGGAGCUCCUGCUGCAUGGUGGGGGUUGGAAAGUUUCGGCGGUUGGGGAUGGACUCGCGGCUUAUCAGCUUGUUGGUGGGGUAGUGGCUUACCAAGGCUUUGACGGGUAGCCGGCCUGAGAGGGUGACCGGCCACAUUGGGACUGAGAUACGGCCCAGACUCCUACGGGAGGCAGCAGUGGGGAAUAUUGCACAAUGGGCGGAAGCCUGAUGCAGCAACGCCGCGUGCGGGAUGACGGCCUUCGGGUUGUAAACCGCUUUCGCCUGUGACGAAGCGUGAGUGACGGUAAUGGGUAAAGAAGCACCGGCUAACUACGUGCCAGCAGCCGCGGUGAUACGUAGGGUGCGAGCGUUGUCCGGAUUUAUUGGGCGUAAAGGGCUCGUAGGUGGUUGAUCGCGUCGGAAGUGUAAUCUUGGGGCUUAACCCUGAGCGUGCUUUCGAUACGGGUUGACUUGAGGAAGGUAGGGGAGAAUGGAAUUCCUGGUGGAGCGGUGGAAUGCGCAGAUAUCAGGAGGAACACCAGUGGCGAAGGCGGUUCUCUGGGCCUUUCCUGACGCUGAGGAGCGAAAGCGUGGGGAGCGAACAGGCUUAGAUACCCUGGUAGUCCACGCUGUAAACGGUGGGUACUAGGUGUGGGGUCCAUUCCACGGGUUCCAUGUCGUAGCUAACGCUUUAAGUACCCCGCCUGGGGAGUACGGCCGCAAGGCUAAAACUCAAAGGAAUUGACGGGGCCCCGCACAAGCGGCGGAGCAUGCGGAUUAAUUCGAUGCAACGCGUAGAACCUUACCUGGGUUUGACAUGGAUCGGGAGUGCUCAGAGAUGGGUGUGCCUCUUUUGGGGUCGGUUCACAGGUGGUGCAUGGCUGUCGUCAGCUCGUGUCGUGAGAUGUUGGGUUAAGUCCCGCAACGAGCGCAACCCUUGUUCACUGUUGCCAGCACGUUAUGGUGGGGACUCAGUGGAGACCGCCGGGGUCAACUCGGAGGAAGGUGGGGAUGACGUCAAGUCAUCAUGCCCCUUAUGUCCAGGGCUUCACGCAUGCUACAAUGGCUGGUACAGAGAGUGGCGAGCCUGUGAGGGUGAGCGAAUCUCGGAAAGCCGGUCUCAGUUCGGAUUGGGGUCUGCAACUCGACCUCAUGAAGUCGGAGUCGCUAGUAAUCGCAGAUCAGCAACGCUGCGGUGAAUACGUUCCCGGGGCUUGUACACACCGCCCGUCAAGUCAUGAAAGUUGGUAACACCCGAAGCCGGUGGCCUAACCGUUGUGGGGGAGCCGUCGAAGGUGGGACUGGUGAUUAGGACUAA